Callorhinus ursinus (northern fur seal) is the source of this 592-nucleotide non-coding RNA. NCBI's taxonomy places the organism in Eukaryota, Metazoa, Chordata, Mammalia, Carnivora, Otariidae. The record is from RefSeq and is a predicted model, not a curated record.
UGCAGGUUACAAAGGCGGUCUGACCUCAGUUUCGCUGCCUUCAUUCACCACAAACUCUGCCUUGUCAGUACCAUAAAAUCCUUGGAAGGCAAAGGGUCCCAUUUUUCCUUCCUUUAACAGGUUUGGAGCUCUCUUUAGAGAGUAAAAAGUGAUUUGCUAGAUGUGUUUAAGAACUCGUCAAAUCAAAUUUUUACCUCAAAAUGAUUCCAGGCUAGGAAAACACACUGGUUCUUAAUCGAGACAGGACGGGUGGGGAAGCUCCCUCCCCUCCCAAGAGUACACCCACCUGCUUUUGAUUCAACACACCUGGGGGGUAGACCCAGACACAUUUCCAUUGAACCCCCCCCUUCUAAACUUCAUCAAAAUCAACCUAUCUACAUCAUGGGUCACACACAUAUAAAAGCCCCCACACUAAAUUUUACAAGAGAUUAACACACCCAAUCAUUUCAAAAUCAAAGCAAGAGCUUUGUAGAGCUAAGGCCACCUCAGAAUUGUCCAUGUCAGUCGGUCACGACUUUACCCUCAUUAAGGCAAAAUCAAACAUGACUGACAGAUUUUCUUUCAGCAGGAUAAUGUCAUCUGCGCCCCUCUA